This 253-nucleotide ribosomal RNA is filed under the name uncultured bacterium. Its description in RNAcentral is "partial 16S ribosomal RNA". It matches the Rfam family "Bacterial small subunit ribosomal RNA", at positions 524 to 776 of the family's 1533-position model. The record is from RNAcentral.
UACGAAGGGGGCUAGCGUUGUUCGGAAUCACUGGGCGUAAAGCGCACGUAGGCGGAUCUUUAAGUCAGGGGUGAAAUCCCGAGGCUCAACCUCGGAACUGCCUUUGAUACUGGGGAUCUCGAGUCCGGAAGAGGUAAGUGGAACUGCGAGUGUAGAGGUGAAAUUCGUAGAUAUUCGCAAGAACACCAGUGGCGAAGGCGGCUCACUGGCCCGAUACUGACGCUGAGGCACGAAAGCGUGGGGAGCAAACAGG